This 562-nucleotide ribosomal RNA is filed under the name uncultured bacterium. RNAcentral describes it as "partial 16S ribosomal RNA". It matches the Rfam family "Bacterial small subunit ribosomal RNA", at positions 355 to 1375 of the family's 1533-position model. The record is from RNAcentral.
UGGGGAAUAUUGGACAAUGGGCGCAAGCCUGAUCCAGCCAUGCCGCGUGAGUGAUGAAGGCCUUAGGGUUGUAAAGCUCUUUCGCCGACGAAGAUAAUGACGGUAGUCGGAGAAGAAGCCCCGGCUAACUUCGUGCCAGCAGCCGCGGUAAUACGAAGGGGGCUAGCGUUGUUCGGAAUCACUGGGCGUAAAGCGCACGUAGGCGGAUUGUUAAGUCAGGGGUGAAAGCCUGGAGCUCAACUCCAGAACUGCCCUUGAUACUGGCAAUCUCGAGUCCGGAAGAGGUAAGUGGAACUGCGAGUGUAGAGGUGAAAUUCGUAGAUAUUCGCAAGAACACCAGUGGCGAAGGCGGCUUACUGGUCCGGUACUGACGCUGAGGUGCGAAAGCGUGGGGAGCAAAACAGGAUUAGAUACCCUGGUAGUCCACGCCGUAAACGAUGGAGGCUAGCCGUUGGCGAGCAUGCUCGUCAGUGGCGCAGCUAACGCAUUAAGCCUCCCGCCUGGGGAGUACGGUCGCAAGAUUAAAAACUUAAAGGAAUUGACGGGGUCAUAGCUGUUUCCU